This 1418-nucleotide ribosomal RNA is filed under the name uncultured organism. RNAcentral's name for it is "SSU rRNA". It matches the Rfam family "Bacterial small subunit ribosomal RNA". The record is from RNAcentral.
CUCACACAUGCAAGUCGAGCGAUGAAGUUUCCUUCGGGAAACGGAUUAGCGGCGGACGGGUGAGUAACACGUGGGUAACCUGCCUCAUAGAGUGGAAUAGCCUUCCGAAAGGAAGAUUAAUACCGCAUAAUGUUGAAAGAUGGCAUCAUCAUUCAACCAAAGGAGCAAUCCGCUAUGAGAUGGACCCGCGGCGCAUUAGCUAGUUGGUGGGGUAACGGCCUACCAAGGCGACGAUGCGUAGCCGACCUGAGAGGGUGAUCGGCCACAUUGGGACUGAGACACGGCCCAGACUCCUACGGGAGGCAGCAGUGGGGAAUAUUGCACAAUGGGGGAAACCCUGAUGCAGCAACGCCGCGUGAGUGAUGAAGGUUUUCGGAUCGUAAAGCUCUGUCUUUGGGGAAGAUAAUGACGGUACCCAAGGAGGAAGCCACGGCUAACUACGUGCCAGCAGCCGCGGUAAUACGUAGGUGGCGAGCGUUAUCCGGAUUUACUGGGCGUAAAGGGAGCGUAGGCGGAUGAUUAAGUGGGAUGUGAAAUACCCGGGCUCAACUUGGGUGCUGCAUUCCAAACUGGUUAUCUAGAGUGCAGGAGAGGAGAGUGGAAUUCCUAGUGUAGCGGUGAAAUGCGUAGAGAUUAGGAAGAACACCAGUGGCGAAGGCGACUCUCUGGACUGUAACUGACGCUGAGGCUCGAAAGCGUGGGGAGCAAACAGGAUUAGAUACCCUGGUAGUCCACGCCGUAAACGAUGAACACUAGGUGUGGGGGUUUCAACACCUCCGUGCCGCCGCUAACGCAUUAAGUAUUCCGCCUGGGGAGUACGGUCGCAAGAUUAAAACUCAAAGGAAUUGACGGGGACCCGCACAAGUAGCGGAGCAUGUGGUUUAAUUCGAAGCAACGCGAAGAACCUUACCUACACUUGACAUCCCUUGCAUUACUCUUAAUCGAGGAAAUCCCUUCGGGGACAAGGUGACAGGUGGUGCAUGGUUGUCGUCAGCUCGUGUCGUGAGAUGUUGGGUUAAGUCCCGCAACGAGCGCAACCCUUGUCGUUAGUUACUACCAUUAAGUUGAGGACUCUAGCGAGACUGCCUGGGUUAACCAGGAGGAAGGUGGGGAUGACGUCAAAUCAUCAUGCCCCUUAUGUGUAGGGCUACACACGUGCUACAAUGGCUGGUACAGAGAGAUGCAAUACCGCGAGGUGGAGCCAAACUUAAAAACCAGUCUCAGUUCGGAUUGUAGGCUGAAACUCGCCUACAUGAAGCUGGAGUUACUAGUAAUCGCGAAUCAGAAUGUCGCGGUGAAUACGUUCCCGGGUCUUGUACACACCGCCCGUCACACCAUGAGAGUUGGCAAUACCCGAAGUCCGUGAGCUAACCGCAAGGAGGCAGCGGCCGAAGGUAGGGUCAGCGAUUGGGGUGAAA